CAAAACGAAUAUGGAGCUACUUGCAUGUUUUGAGCUGGACUUAUGGGAAUCCUUGAUUAAAGAGGACACCUUCCCGUGGGAGAAAUCCCCCGCCCGCGGGAUUUCCCUUGUCGAACCUUGCGCGUACAAUUAAGUGCGCUUAUGCAUGUGCACGACCUUAUUGUUGCAUGCACGCCCAUGGCAUGAGGUGUGCGCAUUGCUUCGUUCUCUAAAUGUAUGCCAUAGGCAGUCAUGCGUGUAAUUAUCCCAUGAGAAUAUGGA
This 261-nucleotide long non-coding RNA is filed under the name Carica papaya (papaya). RNAcentral describes it as "long non-coding RNA (CPAP_LNC002785)". Lineage: Eukaryota; Viridiplantae; Streptophyta; Magnoliopsida; Brassicales; Caricaceae. The record is from RNAcentral.